UGGUGCCCAGCGUGGGGGCUCCUGGCACAGGGGAGUCAAUGAGGGAGCCAUUCGAGAAAGCCGGCUGAAAGUGAAAGCAAAUUGAACCAAAGACCGCAGCGAGAAGUGAGCAAACUAAAUCAAGAAUCGCAGCUAAAAGCAAAAGCAUAUUAAAUCAAGGAAUGAGGCCCACGCGGACAACUACCCGGCAUCCCGCCCGAGUCAUGGUGAGUGAAUGGCGACCCCAUUCCCUUUCCUGGACAUGAAUCAAGCACUGAGUGAACACGAAUUGUUUGUGGGAGGCCUUAUAAAGGCAUGAAAGACAAGAGGGGUAAGGGUUAGAAUAAAAGAAUUAUUGCAAUAUUUUCAAUUUAUUCAUAAGGUUUGCCUUG
Molecule: regulatory RNA element, 371 nt
Organism: Cavia porcellus (domestic guinea pig)
Lineage: Eukaryota; Metazoa; Chordata; Mammalia; Rodentia; Caviidae
Rfam family: Mason-Pfizer monkey virus packaging signal
About the family: The packaging signal is located in the 5' UTR and is required for specific RNA encapsidation.
Source: Rfam